GAUGACAUACGGAGCUAGAGGUGACGCGUUUCCCGUUCCGUGACCGCUCGCCGUGAUAGUGACAAGCGGUGAGAGAGAUCGAUAAAUUGUACGGAGGCUAACAAUAAGUCGCGGCGCGACCCGAUGAAAACGCGACCGGAAACGGAAUAGGCCGCCAUCAGAGGAGGGUGGGAGAGAAUCACCGAGGUCGAGAUAUGAUGCAAAAUGACGAACUUAAUUUUACCAAGGAGAUUAAUAUAACGUGACAGCGAGGAGGUGGCCUACGCUCGUUACCGCGAUAUUAGAAGAGUAUCAACAUUGCGGGUGUGUAUGUCGACUCUUUUAUGAUUAAUCAAGAAUUGGCUCCAGUUUGUGCUACGAUUUACCGAUUUAGCAUUGCAAGAUACCCAGACAGAAUUUAUGAUACGGGAUCUAUGUGGAAUGAAAAGCCCGCCAGAGCGAAUUAAAGUCAUUCGAGAAGAAAUGGGUUAGAACAGACGAGACACUCGAGUAUUAGGAACGUAGGAGGAUAACAUUGGUUCCUGGCUCGCUGAUGUAUCUAAAUAUUGGAUAAGUGACAGCGCGACGUAGCAGGGCCGUAUGAAGAUACAGGGGGAUCAUGUUGUAUCGGAUAAGAGGCGGAGCGUGAGUCAAUGUCGUGUUCGUGUCCGGACGCGAGAGUGGGAGCAUUAAUUAGGGUGGAACAAUAGAGAACGAGAAUUUUUACCAGGGUCGCAUAGCGCACAGGAGAUCGAGGCGUGGGAGUAGUAUCAUCAUCGAUGUCUGGGUCCCGGUAGAACUGAAACCAUCGCGAGUCUCGCGCGAGGAAGAUAGAAAGACAUCUCAUUCCUUUUUCCUUUUUUUUGCGCCAAUAAAAAUUCAAUAGUUUAUAUAACGUGUUUUUCUUUUAGUUCUUUUUUUUUUAAUAGGUACAUUGGAUAUGUUUAUAUUUUAUAUAAUAGUUAUCGUAGAAAAUUAACUGUACAAUCGUAGGUAAUGAUGAUCUUUUCGCGACUGAUUCUCUCAUUCAGCGUGAAAAAACCAGAACUUGUCAAAUGUAAGAAAGGG
Long non-coding RNA from Cataglyphis hispanica, 1047 nucleotides. RefSeq lists it as uncharacterized. Lineage: Eukaryota; Metazoa; Arthropoda; Insecta; Hymenoptera; Formicidae. The transcript is spliced from 3 exons. The record is from RefSeq and is a predicted model, not a curated record.